UACGUAGGGGGCAAGCGUUGUCCGGAAUCAUUGGGCGUAAAGAGCGUGUAGGCGGCUCGAUAAGUCUGCUGUGAAAGUCCAGGGCUCAACUCUGGAAGGCCGGUGGAAACUGUCGGGCUAGAGUCCGGAAGAGGCGAGUGGAAUUCCCGGUGUAGCGGUGAAAUGCGCAGAUAUCGGGAGGAACACCAAUGGCGAAGGCAGCUCGCUGGGAAGGUACUGACGCUGAGGAGCGAAAGUGUGGGGAGCGAACAGG
RNAcentral lists this ribosomal RNA (253 nucleotides) under uncultured bacterium. RNAcentral describes it as "partial 16S ribosomal RNA". It matches the Rfam family "Bacterial small subunit ribosomal RNA", at positions 524 to 776 of the family's 1533-position model. The record is from RNAcentral.